Long non-coding RNA from Gasterosteus aculeatus aculeatus (three-spined stickleback), 541 nucleotides. NCBI's taxonomy places the organism in Eukaryota, Metazoa, Chordata, Actinopteri, Perciformes, Gasterosteidae. The record is from Ensembl.
AUAACCCUGGUUAUCUGAAGGCCAUUUCAGACUGAAGAACAUUGCAGCCGGACCAACAGAAGCUAAACAUGCACGUCGCUCCGUUGCAAGUGAAGCAACAGCAGGCAAUCACUUUACCAACGACCUCAUCAAAAUUCCACCAACGACGGUUUCGGUUGACCGUGCUGAUGUCUCGCACAACACGACAUUAAGGGACGUUAUUCUCCACCUCGAGCGCAACCCGAUCUUUGCAUUCGCGAAGGCCUCAACCCGAGAAUUCACACCAUCACCACCAAGUCCUCAACCGCAGGCCGCACGCGGCGCCGGCAGGAAGGUGGCAUCUCAGUACACACGAGAUGAAGUUCUCUGCAUCGCGCAACCAAUCCACCUUCUCUCAGAAGAUGAUGGAAGCUCCCAAGAGGAAAUAAGACCUGCUAAGCUACUUACACGAGCUAAUCCUCCCACAUCAAGAUGACACUUGGGACGAAAUAAUGGGUCCUGACAAUUAAGAAUUCAACGUUCCCAUAUGAAAGUGUGGUGCUGUGAUAUUAAUACACCGACG